AGUGAACGCUGGCGGUAGGCCUAACACAUGCAAGUCGAACGGCAGCACAGGAGAGCUUGCUCUCUGGGUGGCGGGUGGCGGACGGGUGAGGAAUACAUCGGACUCUGCCCAGUCGUUGGGGAUCGCGAAGGGAAACUAACGCUAAUACCGCAUACGACCUUCGGGUGAAAGAGGGUGAUCGCAAGCCCUCUCGCGAUUGGAUGGGCCGAGGUGGGUUUGGGUAGUUGGCGGGGCAAUGGCCCACCAAGGGGACGAUCCGUAGCUGGUCGGGGAGGAUGAAAGGCCACCUGGGAAUUAGGACACGGUCCAGACCCCUAGGGGAGGAAGCAGUGGGGAAUUUUGGACAAUGGGCGCAAGCCUGAUCCAGCCAUACCGGGUGGGUGAAGAAGGCCUUCGGGUUGUAAAGCCCUUUUGUUGGGAAAGAAAUCUUUCAGGCUAAUACCCUGGGAGGAUGACGGUACCCAAAGAAUAAGCACCGGCUAACUUCGU
Molecule: ribosomal RNA, 489 nt
Filed under: uncultured bacterium
Lineage: Bacteria
Description: partial 16S ribosomal RNA
Rfam family: Bacterial small subunit ribosomal RNA
Source: RNAcentral